AAAUUGAAGAGUUUGAUCAUGGCUCAGAUUGAACGCUGGCGGCAGGCCUAACACAUGCAAGUCGAACGGUAGCACAGAGAGCUUGCUCUCGGGUGACGAGUGGCGGACGGGUGAGUAAUGUCUGGAAAACUGCCUGAUGGAGGGGGAUAACUACUGGAAACGGUGGCUAAUACCGCAUAACGUCGCAAGACCAAAGAGGGGGACCUUCGGGCCUCUUGCCAUCAGAUGUGCCCAGAUGGGAUUAGCUUGUUGGUGAGGUAACGGCUCACCAAGGCGACGAUCCCUAGCUGGUCUGAGAGGAUGACCAGCCACACUGGAACUGAGACACGGUCCAGACUCCUACGGGAGGCAGCAGUGGGGAAUAUUGCACAAUGGGCGCAAGCCUGAUGCAGCCAUGCCGCGUGUAUGAAGAAGGCCUUCGGGUUGUAAAGUACUUUCAGCGGGGAGGAAGGUGUUGUGGUUAAUAACC
Molecule: ribosomal RNA, 469 nt
Filed under: Salmonella enterica subsp. enterica serovar Infantis
Lineage: Bacteria; Pseudomonadati; Pseudomonadota; Gammaproteobacteria; Enterobacterales; Enterobacteriaceae
Description: bacterial SSU rRNA
Rfam family: Bacterial small subunit ribosomal RNA
Source: RNAcentral